RNAcentral lists this long non-coding RNA (422 nucleotides) under Ananas comosus (pineapple). RNAcentral describes it as "long non-coding RNA (ACOM_LNC018322)". The record is from RNAcentral. Lineage: Eukaryota; Viridiplantae; Streptophyta; Magnoliopsida; Poales; Bromeliaceae.
UGUUAAGGCCUCUUGGAAGCUCAAUAAUUAUUAAUGGGCCUUACUUGGGAGCCCAACUAAAAUUUUCAUGUGUGAUAUUUAGUCCCACAUUGGAAACCAAAAGGGUGUUUGUGGUUUUUAUAUAAUCUUUUGUUAUCAAGCUAGUUGCUCGAAAAAAAAAUGAGAGUAAUGCUCUCGUUUAAAUACACGCACAGCACGAGCCGAGCCGAGCCGAGCCAGGCCGGGCCGGCGGCAGCGCAUGCGGUCCUUACACCCGGUUUAUUUUAUUUUAUUUUUAUAUUUUCGGUUUUAUCUUUAUUUUAAUUCUUAUCUUUAUCUUUAUCCUAAUCCUAAUCUUUAUCCGUAUAAUCUUAGGCUUAUCUUGUUCUACACGGAUUUCAUGCGUUGAAGCAAGAUUCUCGCCUUGGUUAUAAAUAUUGGGC